AUGCAUGUGAUUGGGAUUAAAUUGUUUAAUCUUUUAUUUCUGCUGUACAAAAAUUUUAAAAUCAUAUGCAUAGCACUACUGCAUAUUUUCUUCAAGUUGAUCCUGAUUUGAUCAGGUCUAUGGCUCAGUUAAUUUACUGAUUUAAUCAGGUUUAAUUAAGAUUAUGGGAGCCUAAUUAGAUUAGGUUCAUCAUGAUUUAUUUAGGUUUAAUUGAAUUAGAUUUGGAUGAAAUCUAAUUGGAAACUUAAUUGGUUAAACCCUAGAGUCCAAUGUGAUUGGACUUUCUCUCUUGCGCCUUCCCUUCCCUUCACACCUUCUUUCAUCACACAAAUUGGUUUAUGUGCUGAAUAAUCCACACCAAAGCCCUCCUAUUGUUGCCCAUUAGUGAUAGGAUUAGGUUAGUUUUAAGUUGAAUUCAAAAGGUUUGAAUUUAAACCUAAAACCAUAUCCCUAUCCUCCCACAUGCCAGCACUUUGUGAAAGGCUUCUAAUAUAUGCGACAAAAGGAAGUACUCCUAUUUUAUUUUCCAUGCCAAAAAGUUUGUUUGGCCUCUUUCAUCUAGAUAUGGAUGGGUUAAGUCCCAUUUGAUUUGAAAUUCAAAGGGAGUUUGAAAUUUGAAUCAAACAAAUCCUUAUCUCAUCCCAAUUCCUUUUGCACGGC
Molecule: long non-coding RNA, 660 nt
Filed under: Elaeis guineensis (African oil palm)
Lineage: Eukaryota; Viridiplantae; Streptophyta; Magnoliopsida; Arecales; Arecaceae
Description: long non-coding RNA (EGUI_LNC049153)
Source: RNAcentral